AUGCCUCCUAUUUAUGAUGAUUAUAUUGAUGAAAGUGGAUUUGGAGAGGUCAUGACUUUAUUUUGUGAUGAAUCCACUAUUCCGGAAGAGGUUCCAAUUGAUUAUGAGAACAAAGUUGCUAUCUAUGAUGAUUAUUGUGAUGACUUGUAUGCUAUAAAGAAUAAUGAUAACCAUGAAAAUUGUCAUCAUGAUUUUAGUUUUCAAUUGGAUUAUGCCUCACAUGAUAAUUAUUUCGUUGAGUUUGCUCCCACUACUAUUGAUGAGAAGAAAUUUGCUUAUGUGGAGAGUAAUAAAACCUAUAUGCUUGUAGAUCAUGAAAAGAAUGCUUUAGGUGCUGGUUAUAUUGUUAAAUUCAUUCAUGAUGCUACUGAAAAUUAUUAUGAGGCAGGAACAUAUGCUUGUAGGAAUUGCAAUAAUAUCAAGUUUCCUCUCUAUGUGCUUAAAAUCUUGAAGUUAUGCUUGUUUUACCUUCCUAUGCAAGUUGAUUCUUGUUCCCACAAGUUGUUUGCUCAAAAAAUCCCUAUGCAUAGGAAUAGGGUUAGACUUAAAUGUGCUAGUUAUAUUCUUCAUGAUUCUCUCUUUAUGUUACAAUUCUUAUCUUUUAUGUGA
RNAcentral lists this ribosomal RNA (609 nucleotides) under Triticum aestivum (bread wheat). RNAcentral describes it as "partial small subunit ribosomal RNA". Lineage: Eukaryota; Viridiplantae; Streptophyta; Magnoliopsida; Poales; Poaceae. The record is from RNAcentral.